RNAcentral lists this ribosomal RNA (253 nucleotides) under uncultured bacterium. Its description in RNAcentral is "partial 16S ribosomal RNA". It matches the Rfam family "Bacterial small subunit ribosomal RNA", at positions 524 to 776 of the family's 1533-position model. The record is from RNAcentral.
UACGGAGGGUGCAAACGUUGCUCGGAAUCAUUGGGCGUAAAGCGCACGUAGGCGGUCCGGCAAGUCGGGUGUGAAAGCCCUCGGCUUAACCGAGGAACUGCACUCGAUACUGGCUGGCUUGAGUCCGGGAGGGGAUGGUGGAAUUCCCAGUGUAGCGGUGAAAUGCGUAGAUAUUGGGAAGAACACCGGUGGCGAAGGCGACCAUCUGGACCGGAACUGACGCUGAGGCGCGAAAGCCAGGGGAGCGAAUGGG